Molecule: long non-coding RNA, 1266 nt
Filed under: Mastacembelus armatus (zig-zag eel)
Lineage: Eukaryota; Metazoa; Chordata; Actinopteri; Synbranchiformes; Mastacembelidae
Description: lncRNA (ENSMAMG00000026592.1)
Source: RNAcentral
AUGAUGGAUCAUGCAGCGUCUGGAAGAAAAUUCCACUACAGCAGAUGUUUAUCUGACAACGCUGUUAAUAAAUUUAAGAAAAUGAUUCCAUCUUUAUUUGCAUCUAUGCCAAGUAUAAACAUAGUGGAGGGCAGCUGCCUUAAUCCUACUCCCUACCAAAUUGAUCAUGUUGUUGAUAGCGCUGUAACCUCACUGCAUGAAGCGCUUGAUUCUGUAGCCCCUCUGAAAAAGAAGUUAGUGAUUCAGAGAAGACUAGCCCCAUGGUAUAAUUUACAUGUUCGUACCUUAAAGCAGGCAUCACGAAGGCUGGAAAGGAAGUGGCGUUCCACAAACUUAGAGGAAAUUUUUCUAGCCUGGAAAAACAGUCUACUAACAUAUAAAAAAGCUCUCCGUAAAGCCAGAACUGCAUACUAUUCAUCACUAAUAGAGGAAAAUAAGAACAAUCCCAGGUUUCUUUUCAGCACUGUAGCCAGGCUGACAAAAAGUCACAGCUCCGUUGAGCCCAGUGUUCCCUUAGCUCUCAGCAGUGAUGAAUUUAUGAGUUUCUUUACAAAUAAAAUCACAACUAUUAGAGAUAAAAUUCAGCAGAUGCUUCCUAUACCUGCAAUAAAUGAAUCUUCUACUACAGUAGCUCUUGAAUCAUCUGUAGGACCUCAGUUAUGUUUAGACUGCUUCUCUCCUAUAGAUCUCUCUGAAUUUACAUCAGUAGUUGCUUCAUCGAAAUCAUCAACGUGUCUCUUGGACCCCAUCCCGACUAGACUGCUUAAAGACACCCUGCCAUUAAUGAACUCAUCUUUAUUGGACUUGGUAAAUUUAUCUCUAGUAUCAGGCUACGUACCACAGGCCUUUAAGACUGCAGUAAUCAAACCUUUACUCAAAAAGCCUAGUCUUGAUCCAGGAGUCUUGGCUAAUUAUAGACCAAUAUCCAACCUGCCAUUUAUUUCUAAAAUCCUAGAAAAAGCUGUUGCUAAGCAGCUAUCAGACCACUUACACAGGAAUGAACUAUUUGAAGAUUUCCAAUCAGGAUUUAGAGCACAUCAUAGUACAGAAACAGCACUGUUGAAAGUUACCAACGAUCUUCUCUUAGCCUCAGAUAAUGGACUUGUUUCGAUACUUGUCCUCCUAGACCUUAGUGCAGCAUUCGACACCAUUGACCACAACAUCUUAUUACAGAGACUGGAGCAUGUGAUUGGUAUCAGAGGAACAGCGUUAAAGUGGUUCCAAUCCUAUUUAUCGGACAGAUUCCAGUUUGUUGUAUGUCCAUGA